Molecule: long non-coding RNA, 980 nt
Organism: Carassius gibelio (silver crucian carp)
Lineage: Eukaryota; Metazoa; Chordata; Actinopteri; Cypriniformes; Cyprinidae
Exons: 4
Source: RefSeq, a predicted model, not a curated record
GCAGCAGGGGUUCAGAUAAAAAAUCGGCAGCUGGCAGCAGGAAGUGGCUGCCAUUGACAGCCGGAAGGCAGUAACUGACAGCCGGAAGGCAGUAACUGUCAGCCGGAUGGUAGGCGGGACCUGCCAUUCGGUGGAAGCCAAUCAGUAUCGACCAACGUGGGCGCAACCAAUCAGAUAUAACUGCACCCAAACGCUUCAGUAAUGGUUGCGAUUGAUCAAACGUUGCCAGAUGCUGUCCUGUUGAAAAUUCUUCUUUACGUGAUCCUGGAGGAGGGGUGAUGCUACAUUACGAAGUCCGUCUUUGGUUUGUUCCAAAUUCAGAAGUCUGCUGUACUGUAUACAGACUCCUUUCGAAAGAGGGCACAAUCCAGCUGGCUUGACUGAGUAUCUUCUUUUACAGAUUUGAUUAGAGGUUUAAAAAGGUGGAACAAAAUGGAGAACAAGUCUAAGCCAUGUCAGGAAUUCAACAAAAUGUACACCCUGCAGACACUGCGACGAGGUUUACAACAACUGCUUACCAGGUCACUGCAGUCACCCGGAUCCAGUACGUAUCCAGACCAGAUGGUGGAUCGCACCUAGAAAGGACCUCUACAGCCCUGAAAGACAGCGGAGACCAGGACAACUAGAGCCCCAGAUACAGAUCCCCUGUAAAGACCUUGUUUUUUUUCUCCAUUUUGUCACCGGUGGAGUUUUGGUUCCUUGUCGCCUCUGGCUUGCUUCGUUGUGGUCAUUCAUUUACAGUGAUAUCAUUGACAUGAUUGCAAAUGAUUCCACAGAUACUAUUUAAACUGAACCGAGCUCAAGGAUGACAUCACUGAACUGAAUGAUAAACUGCCUUUUAAACUGACUACAAACUGAGUUUACUAAUGUCCUUCUGCAUUAUUGACUGACACACUAUUUUCCUAUUUAAUACUGUAAAGUUGCUUUGCUUUGAGCUGUAUUAUUAAAAGCACUAUAUAAAUAAACGAUGCUUGACUUGA